Molecule: ribosomal RNA, 492 nt
Filed under: uncultured bacterium
Lineage: Bacteria
Description: partial 16S ribosomal RNA
Rfam family: Bacterial small subunit ribosomal RNA
Source: RNAcentral
AGCGAACGCUGGCGGUAGGCCUAACACAUGCAAGUCGAACGGCAGCACAGUAAGAGCUUGCUCUUACGGGUGGCGAGAGGCGGACGGGAGAGGUAAAUAUCGGACUCUACUUUUUCGUGGGGGUUAACGAAGGGAAACUUACGCUCAUAUCGCAUACGACCCACGGGUGAAAGCAGGGGAUCUUCGGACCUUGCGGGAUUGAAUGAGCCGAUGUUGGAUUAGCUAGUUGGCGGGGUAAAGGCCCACCAAGGCGCCGAUCGGUAGCUGGUCUGAGAGGAUGGUCAGGCACACUGGAGCGGGGGCACGGUCCAGACUCCUACGGGAGGCAGCAGAGGGGAAUAUUGGACAAUGGGGGCAAGCCUGAUCCAGCCAGACCGCGUGGGUGAAGAAGGCCUGCGGGUUGUGAAGCCCUUGUGUUGGGGAAGAAAAGCGGCAGGUUAAUACCCCGCUGGUCUGACGGGACCCAAAGUAUAGGCACCGGCUAACUUCGUG